AGUAUAUAUAUGUAUGUAUGUAUGUAUGUAUAUACUUACUGUAUCUAAUUUUUUUGCUAUUUAAAUACUGUCACACUGCAGAGAUGUAAUGUGAAGCAGUCCAUUUUAAAGGUGCUGAUUCCAGUAGGAAUUAUCCUCGAAUAUGUUAUUAGUUAUCAAAUUGCCAAAUGCUUUGGUAACGAUUCAUUUUGGGGGCACACACCAAGCAGAAUAAAACCAAAUAGAAUUUUCUAUAUUUCUAAAAAAACCACCAAAAGCCCAACAACAAAAACCACUCAGAAAUAUUACAGGUAUCAUGGUAUCUUUCCCAAUUUUACCUUGAAAUAAGUGAUAGAAAUACACAGUCCAAAAUAUAGUACCCUGUAGCAUAUGGAAUAAUCUGUACCUAAAAUGGCCUUUCUGUGAUAUAGGUAUUAUUGCAGAAAGUGAUAAGGAAGCGUGCUGUGAAAUUUUCACCUGGUUUCCUUCUGGAAUGCCUUGCUUUGCUUUUGCUAAGGAUUAGAGUGACUGUACAAAACUCUUAUAGAGUUAAAUCUUACUAUUACACAAUUGAAUAUUCUAUAGGUAAGGAAGAAAGAUGUAGCAUUUGAAGUUUGAUGGUAAUCAGUAAGUACAAAACCAAAAUAUAUAUCAUGCCUCAGUAAAGAAAAAGAUAUUCUUGAAAAUGUCCCCACUUCUCUGUUUCCCUCCUUUCCACUCAUAUGUAUUACCUAUGCUAUCUGAUGUUAAGGGGAAAUAUUUGUGAGAGAUGAUGUCUUGGUUAAGUCAGAUCUGUGAAAACAAAAAAUGAACAUGCAAACAAACAAAAAACCCCAGCACAUGAAAUAAAAGCAAUCUGUGAAGUCAACUUAGAGUGAAUAUUUACAUUGUGAGAAGCUUGCCAGUGGCAUUGAACAACCCUGUAGACUGCUCAUUAGUACCAACAGAGAACCACUGUUUGUCUCCUUUGUGUGUUUUAGAAACUAUUAUACUGUAAUCUUGAAAGCAGAAAAUUCUCAACUGGCUAAAACUCUUUCAUAUCAAACAUUGCAAUAGAACUGUGUAUUUGCUAGGGUGUAUGAAUAAAGAAGAUCAGAGGCUGCAGAGGGAGAAAGAGAUAGGGAAAAGAGGAGGAGAGAGAGAAAAGAAAAAAUGAGCAAUUUUUCAAUGGGGAGGGUAUGGAGAGGUUUUGUACAGAAAAUUAUUUCACACUCACCAGUUCUGAUUAAAACCUGCUCAGUUUGCAUUCACUGCUUCUGCUCUGGUUCCAGAAUAUAUAAAUACUGAGAUUUUUGGGUGGCACUGAAACCCCUGUCCAGGACUCCAGGCUGUGAGGAAAAUCAAUGAAUGGAAAGAGAGCUGAAAGCAAGCAGUGGGAUUUGGAGUAGCUUCAGUGAGAAGUCCCUCCAGACAUUUUCUCUUGGGCUUGUUAUCCUCCUAUUUUUCAAUUACUGGAAUAGAUCUUUGCAUAUGUCUACUCAGUGAAAGAGCAGAAAAUUUAUCUGGUAACAUCAAUCCUUGCUGUCUUAGUGUACCAACAGAGAUCUCAUAAAUAAUUUUGUAAAGUCCAUCCUCUUUUCAUAGUUUUUAGUUUGAAGUGGUCCUUAUCUAGUGCUAGUUAACAGAGUUAAAUCCUUCACUAACCAAACUCUAACACCAUUGAAGAACAAGAACAAUGAAAUAAUUGCCAAGUUUUUAUUGAAAAACUAUAUCCAAAUUGCCACAAUUCUUAAAUCCCCAGGCAAUCCCAUUUUAGUCCCUGAAAGACAUUUUCCCCUUGUUUUUCAGUUUGCCUUACAAAAUACAUCUCAAUUUUAAGACUUCAAUUCAGUAGACAUGUUCAAAACCUGAACUGAAACACCUUCCUACUCAGAGGGACAGGAUAUUUUAUUUUCUACUAUCAGGUACGUACUGAAUACAAAUUUUUUCAGUUCACUUACAAAGAAUUUUGCAUGGUAUGGAAGAACACUUUUGUCAUAAAACUUUAAGAAAACUGACAGGUUUCUCACUGAUUUAGUCAGUAGAAGUAUUUCCUCUGCUUUCAAAAAGACUAGGACUUAAGCCUUAAUUUCCAGUCAGUUUUUGUAUGUAUAAAUUUUUAGUAUUUAGAAAAUGGUAAAGACUUGAAAACAAUCUAACAAAGUUCUUAACUUAGUGAAACUUAAAUAUUCUGAAGCUUUGUAUUCUCUCUCUUUUUGUGUAUUGUUUUAUUGAGUGUUUUUGGUAUUGCUUUUGAUUUUUUUUUUAGUUUUAAAACAUUAGCACUUCAGUUUCUCUACAUGCUGAAUGAGUAACUGCUGAGAAUGAGAAGUUAUAUCUUAUAGAUCUCUUUAGUUCACAAACUGAAGUUCAGCAAAUGUGAGGUCUUUCCGCACUUUUCUAUCAUCAUGCAUUUAAGCUUUCUUUUUCUUAUUUUUAAAUAAAGUUAGAAGCUGUGUUCUGAACUUGACAUCUGCAAUGCAAAAUAUAAGAUGUGAAAAAGAAAAGUAGCACAGGAUUAAAAGCAACAACAAAAAAUACAAAUAAAAACAAAAGAAAGCUAUUUAAAGAUACAGAAAUAUUUUAGGAAACAUAAAUUUUACUCCUAACUUGGAUACAAUUUAGAGAUAUAGCAGGAAAUAGUUCUUUGUCUUUUUUCAAAGUUAAUAAAGGUCUACAUUAAUUUUUACAUGUUAAGGGAAACUUGCACAUGUAAUUUUCUCUUCUCUGUCCAUUACCUCCAUUUUGAGUAUAAUAAUUUGCACUGCAACUGAAACUAUACAGUCAAGAAUUUCUCUGUAUUACAUUGUAUAUUUGAAUUUGUUUAGAAAAUAAAAACCCAUUAAAU
This is a long non-coding RNA of Taeniopygia guttata (zebra finch), 2806 nucleotides long. RefSeq lists it as uncharacterized. NCBI's taxonomy places the organism in Eukaryota, Metazoa, Chordata, Aves, Passeriformes, Estrildidae. The record is from RefSeq and is a predicted model, not a curated record.